AUGGCAUACGAUAUGCUCGAUGCGAUUAACAAUGGGAAGGAUUCCUGGAAAGUGAAGGUCAGAGUAAUUAGGCUAUGGGACGCCAUUAACCUCAAUAACAAUGAACUAAUUAGCCUUGACAUGAUACUGCUUGAUGAACAGGGCACUAUGAUACAUGCGAAGGUAAUAAAACAUAUGGUUAACAAGUUCAGGCCAUUGAUCCAAGAAGGUUUAGUCUACAUGAUAGCAAAUUUCAAGGUUACAUCUGCCAUGAAUUUCCGUCCAGUUGAAGGCGACAAGAUUAUUAACUUCUUGCACACAACAAAAAUUCAAGAGAUUAAGGGACUUAAAAAUAUCAGAAUAGCAGAACAAAGUUUCAUGUUUUGUAGUGUUGAAGUUCUUUCCAGAAGAGAUGGCCAGAGGAUGUACUUAUCCGAUGUCAUUGGGGUAGCAAGUUAUAUAGGGAAUAUUGAAGAGACGGAGACAACUCAUGGGAUUUCCAAGAUUCGAGAUAUUGUACUUCGAAUUGAGGAUCAAAAAGUUAAUAUUAGACUCUGGGGCAAUAAGGUUGACCAAAUUGAUGAAGAUUCUGUGGGACGUGUUGUCAUAGUAACAUCAACAACGGUUAGAAAAUUGAAAGAGUACUCGCUGUCAUCUACAGGUGCGACCAAAGUAUAUAUCGAUUUGGAUAUCCCUGAAACAACUGAGCUCCAAACGAGGUAUUGCUUGGAAGAUGAUAUCAUAGAGGAAACAGGGCCGGAAGCCCACUUGCAAGGAACAAUUCAAGAACAAAUGCUCUAUAACAGAAAGACACUAAGAGAAAUAACUGAAAUUGCAUAUGAAUCUGAAAAAAUAGGAAAAGUUCUAUACUGCCGAAGCAACCAUUAA
This 867-nucleotide ribosomal RNA is filed under the name Triticum aestivum (bread wheat). RNAcentral describes it as "partial small subunit ribosomal RNA". Lineage: Eukaryota; Viridiplantae; Streptophyta; Magnoliopsida; Poales; Poaceae. The record is from RNAcentral.